Molecule: small RNA, 455 nt
Filed under: Pan troglodytes (chimpanzee)
Lineage: Eukaryota; Metazoa; Chordata; Mammalia; Primates; Hominidae
Description: processed transcript
Source: RNAcentral
GCGUUUCCCUUUGAAAACGCGAGGUCACCUGGACUGCCCCUGAAGGGAAGACCUGCUAUGUGACCCAGGAGCAGCCCGGCGCGGACCCAGAAAUUGAAGCCAAGGAAGCUUGUGAUUGGCUACGGGCAACUGGUUUCCCCCAGUAUGCACAGCUUUAUGAAGAUUUCCUGUUCCCCAUCGAUAUUUCCUUGGUCAAGAGAGAGCAUGAUUUUUUGGACAGAGAUGCCAUUGAGGCUCUAUGCAGAGUGACGAUUCAGACGAGGAUGAGCCUUGUGCCAUCAGUGGCAAAUGGACUUUCCAAAGGGACAGCAAGAGGUGGUCCCGGCUUGAAGAGUUUGAUGUCUUUUCUCCAAAACAAGACCUAGUCCCUGGGUCCCCAGACGACUCCCACUCGAAGGACAGCCCCAGCCCCGGAGGCACACUGAUGGACCUCAGCGAGCGCCAGGAGGUGUCCU